Molecule: long non-coding RNA, 1086 nt
Filed under: Struthio camelus australis
Lineage: Eukaryota; Metazoa; Chordata; Aves; Struthioniformes; Struthionidae
Description: lncRNA (ENSSCUG00000004696.1)
Source: RNAcentral
GCUUUGUCUGCUGUGAGUUAUCACCUUGCAUUUUCACACCCUCCACUUAGCAGGUGCCUGAGCAGGUACUUAACCCUCUUAGCCCGUGUCCCUCCAAGCCAUCGCUCUCCGUUGCAGCAGCUCUACCGGGAGGACAGCGGCGCAGCGCUUCGUGGCGAGUUAUGCGCUGAAACGUCCGUUUGCUGCGUUUUUUUUUUUGCUGGAAACGUGCCGUUUUCUCGCGAGCCCGCGGAGGGCUUGCGCGGUUGUCCCGCUCGCGCGGAGCUCCGAGCUCGCCGGUCCGCGCUCUGCAGCCGCUGCGCUACGUCGCUGGGACCUGAUGCGGCUGCUACCGCUGGAGCCAAAGGGCUGUGCAGAUUUCCUCCGCGAGACCGAAAGCUGAAUCUCUCGGGCACCGGUUUUGAUCGAUGGUGCCUGAAGGCUUCAAAGCUCUGCUUUUCUCUCUUGCCCUUAGCUGGUGGCUGUUUCCCCCUUGUCUGUCUACCUGGAAAACGCGGCUGCCUGACCCCCCCCCAGCGCCUCUCCGAAGCCUCUCCGUGCAUAGAGGUGUGGGGGGUCUCAGCAGCCAAACAGCAGCUCGUUCGUUCUUGUUACGCCGACGUGAAGUCUUGCCGAAGGGGCUCGGGGCCCUGGGAGCCUGUGGGAGGGAUCGCGCUCGCUCUGUACCGCCUCGCGAUUUGUGGGAGUGCAACGGAAAAAAUAACCCGAUCCUGGGAGAGACGAUGCAUUUCACAUGAACUGAGCUUGAAUUUCCUCGGAGCGAGUCGUCUGAAGCCCUUGGAGACGCGAUGUGUAGCAGCCCGAGCCCAGGCCGGGUCCGCUGGGAAGUUAUUACACCAGGAAAAUCUCCAGCUGCAGGCUGGCAGCUGGCUGGUAUGGGGAAGACAAAUGCACCGUCUACCUCGAGCCUAUGCAGAUGCAUCUCCUCGAAACGAAUGCCUGCUUGCUCUCUCUUCCUUCUCUUCGCCCUGGGAGAGUUCAGCGCAGCAGACACCCGCUGCGGGCAUGCCCGGGGCGUCCAUCCACGAUGCCUUUAAAGCCAGGGAUGCAGCAGCCUUCCGGAGAACAGUGUUUGCUUUCACUUAA